This 330-nucleotide ribosomal RNA is filed under the name Triticum aestivum (bread wheat). Its description in RNAcentral is "partial small subunit ribosomal RNA". Lineage: Eukaryota; Viridiplantae; Streptophyta; Magnoliopsida; Poales; Poaceae. The record is from RNAcentral.
AUGAAACUACAGAAUAGAGGACUGGAAGUGGAUACAAGCUGUCCAGUAUGCCAUCGAAUGGAUGAAGAUGGAGGUCAGUAUUUCCUAAAAUGCAAAUCUGUCAAGGCUAUUUGGAGAACUGCAUUGUUGGAAGAAAGUCGGAUGCAACUUCUCAAUUGCCCAAAUGCCAUCUCGAUGGUGGAGGAUAUCUUGCACAUGGAAGAGGAAAAAUGUCUGAAAGUAUGCAUCCUUUUGUGGUUAUGGUGGUCUGAAAGAAACAGAGCUAAUCAAGGAGAAAGGAUUAGGACUGAAGAGGAAAUUAUAUAUUCAGUUCAGCUGCACUUGUUGUAA